RNAcentral lists this ribosomal RNA (270 nucleotides) under uncultured bacterium. RNAcentral's name for it is "partial 16S ribosomal RNA". It matches the Rfam family "Bacterial small subunit ribosomal RNA", at positions 29 to 318 of the family's 1533-position model. The record is from RNAcentral.
AACGAACGCUGGCGGCAUGCCUAACACAUGCAAGUCGAACGCCCCGCAAGGGGAGUGGCGGACGGGUGAGUAACACGUGGGAACCUGCCCAAUGGUUCGGGAUAACCGCGGGAAACUGCGGCUAAUACCGGAUAAGCCUUCUGGGAAACCAGGAGGGAAAGAUUUAUCGCCGAUGGAGGGGCCCGCGUCCGAUUAGGUAGUUGGUGGGGUAACGGCCUACCAAGCCUACGAUCGGUAGCUGGUCUGAGAGGAUGAUCAGCCACACUGGGA